Molecule: ribosomal RNA, 223 nt
Filed under: uncultured bacterium
Lineage: Bacteria
Description: partial 16S ribosomal RNA
Rfam family: Bacterial small subunit ribosomal RNA
Source: RNAcentral
GACAGGAGGGUGCAAACGUUUGUUCGGAAUUACUGGGCGUAAAGCGCGUGUAGGCGGCCCUGCAAGUCGGGUGUGAAAUCCCACCGGCUCAACCGUGGAAGUGCACUCGAAACUGCAGGGCUAGAGUCCUGGAGAGGAAGGUGGAAUGCUUGGAUGUAGAGGUGAAAUUCGUAGAUAUCAAGCGGAAACACCGGUGGCGAAGGGCGGCCUUCUGGGACAGUGA